CCUACGGGCGGCAGCAGUGGGGAAUUUUCCGCAAUGGGCGAAAGCCUGAUGCAGCCAUGCCGCGUGUAUGAAGAAGGCCUUCGGGUUGUAAAGUACUUUCAGCGGGGAGGAAGGCGAUAAGGUUAAUAGCCUUGUCGAUUGACGUUACCCGCAGAAGAAGCACCGGCUAACUCCGUGCCAGCAGCCGCGGUAAUACGGAGGGUGCAAGCGUUAAUCGGAAUUACUGGGCGUAAAGCGCACGCAGGCGGUCUGUCAAGUCGGAUGUGAAAUCCCCGGGCUCAACCUGGGAACUGCAUUCGAAACUGGCAGGCUAGAGUCUUGUAGAGGGGGGUAGAAUUCCAGGUGUAGCGGUGAAAUGCGUAGAGAUCUGGAGGAAUACCGGUGGCGAAGGCGGCUCCCUGGACAAAGACUGACGCUCAGGUGCGAAAGCGUGGGGAGCAAACAGGAUUAGAUACCCCAGUAGUC
RNAcentral lists this ribosomal RNA (465 nucleotides) under uncultured bacterium. RNAcentral describes it as "bacterial SSU rRNA". It matches the Rfam family "Bacterial small subunit ribosomal RNA", at positions 338 to 795 of the family's 1533-position model. The record is from RNAcentral.